GAUCGCGUAAGCUCAGUUGGCAGAGCAUUGGGCUAGUAUUCCAAAGGUCGUAGGUUCGAUUCCCACCAUGAUCA
This 74-nucleotide transfer RNA is filed under the name Paramuricea clavata. It matches the Rfam family "tRNA". Rfam says of the family: Transfer RNA (tRNA) molecules are approximately 80 nucleotides in length. Their secondary structure includes four short double-helical elements and three loops (D, anti-codon, and T loops). The record is from Rfam by way of RNAcentral. Lineage: Eukaryota; Metazoa; Cnidaria; Anthozoa; Malacalcyonacea; Plexauridae.